UAAUUAAUUAGAUAAAAUAAUUUUAAUUUCAAAUUAUAACUCUUAUUCCUUUUGUUCCAAUCUAACCAUCCAAAUAUUAUUUACCUUAUUUUCUAAACAACUCAAUUUUCAUCUAAACUCAAAAUUAGUUUACUUCUUGUUUAUAUCUGAACUUAAUUGUACCUGUCCAUGAAAUAAGCAGUUUUUACUUAUACUCGAAUCAAACGCAGCCUUAAAGAAAAAUGGUAGAGACUUAAAUAGUGUGAGUGAUUGCGAAAGAU
This 260-nucleotide long non-coding RNA is filed under the name Ananas comosus (pineapple). RNAcentral describes it as "long non-coding RNA (ACOM_LNC019584)". The record is from RNAcentral. Lineage: Eukaryota; Viridiplantae; Streptophyta; Magnoliopsida; Poales; Bromeliaceae.